AGUAUUUAUAAACAAGUUACAUGUUUGGGAAAGAGGUAUUAAACGAGCAUUUUAUUUUAAAUUGGAUCAACUUAACCACAAAAUACGCGCAUUGGAGUUAACAUCAAGUACAUAAUUAUGAAACCAACAUUUUCAGAAAUUGUGAGGAAUUUAUAUACAGGUAUUAUUUGCUAAUUGGAAGAUGAAUUUAUUUGCUGGUUAAUUGAAAGUUUUUCGACAACUGACUUAAACGUCGACCGACCUUCUACAAAUGAUCGGGAUUGAACGCCUUGAACGUGAUUGAAAACACCGUUGAGGCAAGAUGCUAGAGACACAACAUUAGAAUGUUACUACCUUCGGUAUCGUGGUUGUCUCCCUUUCCUGCUGCAACGAAAAAGUUCUACAGGUCAAGGACAAGCAGGUAUUGAUCGCAGUUACAAAUGCCAUUUGUAACGGGGACAGUUACAAAUGUCUUUUGUUCCGGGGAGGGGGGUAUUGUAUUGCCAUUUAACUAUUCAGCUAGCGAGUAAGUAACGUAUUUACAUUAUUUCAACCAAAAAGCUGGGUGUCUUCUAAGUUUGAUUGAGUUCAGACUUUUGCAUUUAAAAUCUUUGAUAACAAACUGAAGUGUGUCUACAUUAAUAAGUAGUUGAUAUCUAGGCUAUUUCCAUGCAGUACUAAGUUCAGUGUUUUAAAGCGUGCAUUCAUCACUGCUGUACUAUAGAGUUCCAACAAAUAAGCUUAGUUUACUCAAGUUGCAGAAACGGAUAGAAAAGGUAAUAUGUGAAAGCCGAAUACUUACAUUCCUUUUAAUGAUUGACAGAUGGGUAGGUAUGCUUAUGACACAACAUCGGGCUGUGACAAUCGAAGGAUCUCUGAAGCUGGUGUCUUAGAAUUUGAUCUUCAUUUUAUUUUUUAUAAUUAGAUUUCAAACAACAUGUCAUUUUCAUAUUUAAUUUACAUUUACACGAUUCUUUGUUAUUGUUAUUGUGGCAGGCAAAUGUUUUCUUCCAGAUAGGUUGAUAUGUUCAACCGUCCAUUACUGAAUCUCUGAACUUUAGAUCACACGAGGCAUUUUCUGAUGGAUACACUCAAUUCCUGAUCUUACUGUCACAAGAGGCUGUUCCAAUGUAUAUGUCGUUUGCAGUUGAAACUUACAGUGGAGUUGCAUGACAGUUAUGCUACUGUUAAACUGAUGAGCUACAAUUUGAGUUAAGCAGGCGAAGACGAGCAGAUGUACGAGGCAGAGGUCAUACACAGGAGGUCCUGACAGGAUGUGUUUGAAGGGAAAUUAUGGCGAUAAACUAAAGACAACCCGUCUGAAACCGACAAGCUAAGAAGCAGUGUAAUCGGCAUCACUGCCGAUGUUAAGAGAAUCAUCUCCAGUUUAAGAUGUUGAUUCAAAUUGAUACGAGCAGACAGCACCGAAACCCUGAAAUCUGAAGGUAACUUUGGGAGCAUCCUUGCAACAUGUGAUCCUGGUGUGUCCAACUUGAGCAUGAAGCAAAGGUAGAUAUCGUUUGAGGAUAAAACUUACAGACUUCUUUGCAUAAUAUUACAAAAUUGGGAUAAAUAUGAAUACUAUUUAGCUGGUAAAUUGAAUCAUGAAUUACCAAGGGACGGUACAAUAAAGGCAUUGGUUAUAUACGUGAAAUAUAUUUAUAUUUGUAUUGAUAACUAAGUUAGUUUAAGGGAAAACUCUAGGGAUUUGCAUGUUUGUAUUGUUCAUAAAAGCUACUUUUAGACAUAAUGAAAAUGAUGUGUUAUUGACUGACAAAGGACAAUUUGACUUAAAGACAGGAACUAGAAGGAGGCAAUCAUUUGAUUUUUAUUGAAAGGCAAUUAGUAUGUCGUUGAUAACCCUCAAGUAUCGCCUUCGGCACGGCUUCUUACGCUUUAACCCAGUUAUUAUCUACAAUUACCGUCCAACCCUAAAUCUCUAAAAUUUAGAUCAAACGAGGCAUUUUCUAGUAGGGUAAGGUUAUCCGUUGUCCUGACUGCAAUAAUCAGAAAGACAUGUGCCCAAUAGAGGUAAGCUUAUUAUCUGUAAUAAAAUGGUUGUAUCCGAUCGAUAUAAAGCUGUUGAACCAGAACUUCUCAAAACUUGAUUUAUGUUUAGCUUAAUGUACUAUUUUGGAGAAAAUCAUCUCUGAUUGAAGAUAUUGCUUAAUAACUUAGUUCGUAAAUCAUAUUUGAAAUGUUCCCAAUGGCGUUGCUUUUAUUGACUAACAGACAGGUAAUUACAGCAUUAUACGAACACACAACAUUGGAAUACGAUAAGCUGAAGAUCAGCGAACUCGGCAUCACUGCUCAUGUAGAACAUUAUUUCAAGCUCUGGGUAAUCGUUGAGUAGAAAAAGGCAUUUAUCGCGGAAUUGUCGUAGCACAACCAGCUAAUACACAUUUGUAGACCUAUGACAUAAUUGACCGUGUCACUGCAUUGCCUGAACGUUUGUUUUCAGAUCGAUAAUACUUUCUUCCCACCAAUAAUGGCAAUGUAUGGGGUGUCUUGUCCUUAAUAGAUUCAAAAUUAUACGCAGCUUCCUGUUUAAUUAAGUAUAUUUAAUACUUUAAUAGUUCUGCUUUACUUUGUUAACAUUCAUGUUGGGGAAAUUAGUAUUUCUUUUGAUUACAUUUUCAGUAAAACUUGUCCAUUUAAGAUGGAUACGAGCAGAACAACCUGAAUUCCUGACCAGAAUGUCACAAGGUGCGCUUUCUGGCAGCAUGUGGUCCUAGGUUGUCCGGCAUGAGCCUGUUCCAAUGUAUAUGUCGUUUGCGGUUAACACUUACAGUGAAAAUUGUCAAUUCUACUGAAGUUACUAUCGAUACCGUUCUGAUGAUUAAGAAGGUUCAUCUUAAUCUUGCAAGCUACAGAGGUUUUGGAAAAAAAAUCUAACUUUUUUAGCCAAACAAAAAUUAGUCUGUAACCAAGGAGCAGUUAUAUCCCGAUUUUAAAUAUUGUAAAAUAGUUGAUUUUAUCAGAUUGUUUUCAAAGAAAAUAUACUUUAAUGAUAUUUGUAGCUAACAGAUAAUAUUUGCCGACUCAAAUUACAGUGACAAGUGAUCUUCUGUGGACACUGUCCGAGCAAAUGUUUCCAUUAUCUAACAAACAUGAUACUAAGUCAUUAAUUUUCUACUACAAAGAAUGUAAAUCCCUUGCCUGCAUAUAAAGUGGAAGAAACACUAAAUAUUGCCUUUGGUGAUGAAUGUCGAAUGAAAAAAAUGUGAGAUCAAUUUCUUCGUUCUCUUGAGUAAACUUUACAAUAUUACUCUCAUUUAAUUGCUUAAUUUAACAUUGCAAAAGCUUUUGAAAAUAAAUGCGAAAAAUCAUAUAUAAACUAUCAUUUGUGUCGCGUUUUUAUUUUAGCCUCUUGCUCAUAAUGUUGAAAGCAGUGUUGGACUGCUUGUACUGCUUUGGGGAGAAUACUUUUUUAUUGACGGCCACGGUAACUAACUGAAUUCAUGAAACAUUUUUGCAGUUUUUUCAAGUGACAGAGACGGAGUGGUAAGCCGACAAAAAGUAUAUCGUAAUGCGACAAGCCUGGUAUCUGCUUUGGUUACAUGACAGUUGUUUUCCUUGGGCUGCUGUUAAACUAGCUACAGUUUGUGGAAAAGCAAAUACGAGCAGACUUACCACGCAGAGAUCAGCUCUUCCUGACAGGAUGUGUUCCAAUGUUAUCCGGUAUUGGCAGGAAUAAAAGAUUGGCUGAUACGAGCAGACUUCGCAAAGUUAAUCCCUGAUCUGGAGGUCCCGAAACCAAGAGACGUUUGGACAAUAGUAUAUCUUCAUAAAGGUGCCUUUGGAACGUAUUUGUCAUCUGCAGUUGGGAAAAAAAUGGUUCGGUGCUGAAGACACACCAUCGGGGUGUGACAAUCCCAGAUAAUGUCAGUCCGGAGUCACAAUUGUCUUUGCGGAUAGAAACAGUACGCUUUGCAAUUUGAGAACAAGAAGGCUUCAGAUCCAGAACUGGAAACGAGCAGAUGUAUGUGUCCGGACCCAUGCACGCUAUUCAAGAAAAAUUAUUUCUGAUCGAAGUUAGUGCGAUUGGUUUCUUUUGGAUAGAUCAAUAUGAGGAGACGUCCCACGCUAAAUACCUGAUUUAGAGGUUACAUGACGCACUUCCAGAAAUGCCAAUACGUGCGAAUGAUCCACACUGAAACACUGAUCUCGAUGUUACAAAAGGCUUUUGUUGGAAGGAUUUUAUCUUGAUAUGUCCAGCGAUUACUUCAAUCACACUAAUCUACUUUGGUCACAGGACUGCUUCAAACACUGCAUCUGUAACAUUACAGAUUUGACAAUUACAAUAUUUCUGUAAAUAUUUUACCAUGAUCACAAAUGUGUUCUUGUUAUUGACUGAUUUUCGGCGGUAUGAUGAAGAUAUUACAUGAAAAUAUGACAGGACUUUGAUAUGCCAGUUGUCUUCCUUUUAAUAAUAAAAAGGGAAGGAUAAGCAGGUAGCUUAAAUCUCUAGAGUUUCUAAAAAUUGAUGUGACAAGGCAACUCCGAAUUAAACAUACUACACUAAUCAUUUGUCACGAGGUUUCUAUGUCGUGGAAGUUAUCCAUCUGAACUACUCCUAAUCUCGCAUACAAUAGUUUAAUUAUAAAUAGUGAUACUCCUACUAACCAAUUACACACCAUAGUCUGGUAUUUGUAACCUUAAACGAAAUUGGAGAGGAACUCCAUUAUCUUCUUUGAUUCACAAUCGAACGGAGAAUAGUAUUCCUCUAUGUUAACAGAACUAUUGUAAAUAUGUUUUGAUUUAAAGGUAUAAUGAACGAAAACAGGUUACUUGUUUUAAUAAGUGAUGUGUAUUUAGAGCACUUACAUCCUGUUUGAACAUCGUUAUUGGUCAUGUUUAACAUAUGUAAUCUGCAUAAAACGUAUUAACCUCUUUUCAUAUAUUGUAUGUGUUGAGCGUAAAAAGAAAUUGCAUACAGUGAUAAUCACUUUCUUUUGUUCGGACAUAUGUCAUUUAGGUUUACUCUUGAGCUAAUAUGCACUAUCCAAA
This is a long non-coding RNA of Mya arenaria, 4989 nucleotides long. RefSeq lists it as uncharacterized. The record is from RefSeq and is a predicted model, not a curated record. NCBI's taxonomy places the organism in Eukaryota, Metazoa, Mollusca, Bivalvia, Myida, Myidae. The transcript is spliced from 12 exons.